Molecule: ribosomal RNA, 1529 nt
Filed under: Citrobacter koseri
Lineage: Bacteria; Pseudomonadati; Pseudomonadota; Gammaproteobacteria; Enterobacterales; Enterobacteriaceae
Description: bacterial SSU rRNA
Rfam family: Bacterial small subunit ribosomal RNA
Source: RNAcentral
AGAGUUUGAUCAUGGCUCAGAUUGAACGCUGGCGGCAGGCCUAACACAUGCAAGUCGAACGGUAACAGGAAGCAGCUUGCUGCUUCGCUGACGAGUGGCGGACGGGUGAGUAAUGUCUGGGAAACUGCCUGAUGGAGGGGGAUAACUACUGGAAACGGUAGCUAAUACCGCAUAACGUCGCAAGACCAAAGAGGGGGACCUUCGGGCCUCUUGCCAUCAGAUGUGCCCAGAUGGGAUUAGCUAGUUGGUGGGGUAACGGCUCACCAAGGCGACGAUCCCUAGCUGGUCUGAGAGGAUGACCAGCCACACUGGAACUGAGACACGGUCCAGACUCCUACGGGAGGCAGCAGUGGGGAAUAUUGCACAAUGGGCGCAAGCCUGAUGCAGCCAUGCCGCGUGUAUGAAGAAGGCCUUCGGGUUGUAAAGUACUUUCAGCGGGGAGGAAGGUGUUGUGGUUAAUAACCGCAGCAAUUGACGUUACCCGCAGAAGAAGCACCGGCUAACUCCGUGCCAGCAGCCGCGGUAAUACGGAGGGUGCAAGCGUUAAUCGGAAUUACUGGGCGUAAAGCGCACGCAGGCGGUCUGUUAAGUCAGAUGUGAAAUCCCCGGGCUCAACCUGGGAACUGCAUCUGAUACUGGCAGGCUUGAGUCUCGUAGAGGGGGGUAGAAUUCCAGGUGUAGCGGUGAAAUGCGUAGAGAUCUGGAGGAAUACCGGUGGCGAAGGCGGCCCCCUGGACGAAGACUGACGCUCAGGUGCGAAAGCGUGGGGAGCAAACAGGAUUAGAUACCCUGGUAGUCCACGCCGUAAACGAUGUCGACUUGGAGGUUGUGCCCUUGAGGCGUGGCUUCCGGAGCUAACGCGUUAAGUCGACCGCCUGGGGAGUACGGCCGCAAGGUUAAAACUCAAAUGAAUUGACGGGGGCCCGCACAAGCGGUGGAGCAUGUGGUUUAAUUCGAUGCAACGCGAAGAACCUUACCUGGUCUUGACAUCCACGGAAGUUUUCAGAGAUGAGAAUGUGCCUUCGGGAGCCGUGAGACAGGUGCUGCAUGGCUGUCGUCAGCUCGUGUUGUGAAAUGUUGGGUUAAGUCCCCGCAACGAGCGCAACCCUUAUCCUUUGUUGCCAGCGGUUAGGCCGGGAACUCAAAGGAGACUGCCAGUGAUAAACUGGAGGAAGGUGGGGAUGACGUCAAGUCAUCAUGGCCCUUUACGACCAGGGCUACACACGUGCUACAAUGGCAUAUACAAAGAGAAGCGACCUCGCGAGAGCAAGCGGACCUCAUAAAGUAUGUCGUAGUCCGGAUUGGAGUCUGCAACUCGGACUCCAUGAAGUCGGAAUCGCUAGUAAUCGUGGAUCGAUGCCCACGUGAAUACGUUCCCGGCCUUGUACACACCGCCCGUCACACCAUGGGAGUGGGUUGCAAAAGAAGUAGGUAGCUUAACCUUCGGGAGGGCGCUUACCACUUUGUGAUUCAUGACUGGGUGAAGUCGUAACAAGGUAACCGUAGGGGAACCUGCGGUUGGAUCACCU